UGUUGGGGCCAGGUGCCAGAUGAGUGUCCAGAACACGUGGCCCCUGAGCUUUGGGAUGCAUCAGCACCCACUCAGCCUGCCCAAAUGCAGAUUCCUAGGACUCAACCCCAGAGACCGAGACAAGGUCUGAAUAGGAUGGCAAAAAGCUACACAGUAAACACCGUGUCGCUUCUGGCCUGCAGAUUCUAAGGAGGGCGAUGAAAAGCAACUUGUCGAACCACAUUCAUUUAUAACGAGAAAGAACAAAUCAGGUGGCUUGCGCAGUGGCGUGGUCGGCUAGGUCGGUGGCCCCGUCUCCAGGAGCCAGCUCAGUGGGAAGCCAGAUGGCUGCGGGGCCAGGCUGAAGCCAGCAGCCCAGAAAUCAAUCUGCGUCUCUCCUGUCGGGGGCAGGGAACCACAUGCUUGAACCAUCACCGGGUGCCUCCCAGGGUGCACCUGCGCAGGAAGCUGGACCUGGAAGCAGAGCUGGACCCAAACGCAGCCACUACGAUGGGGGACGCGGGCGUCCCAGGCGGCGCCUUAACUGCUACGCCAAAGCCUGCCCUGCUCAUACGCAUCUCCGGGACAUAAUUCCAACGUUUUUCCGAUUGUGGAACACAUAGAAGCAGAAACGCAAGAGCAAAGAAAUGAAGGGAAGUAGUGGAAGAGUCGGCAAACAUGGGACAGAAGAUGGCGGUGGUGGGGAGAGUGUGGGCACGCACCUGUCCCCUCUGGCGUCCUCGGAUUAACCCCCUGUGCUUCCACCCCCUUGGACUCGCUGUUCUGGGUACCGCAGGCUGGGAGACGACAUGUGCUUCCUCCCCGCCUCUCCUCUGCUCGUCACAUUCCAGGGAGCUCAGGCUCCGGGCUGGGCUCUGCACCACUGAACCAUGCAGAAAUUCAUCCUCCCACCUCCCAGUGGCCGGUGAUCCAUUAAACUGCUCUCCAGGGAGAUCAGCCCAAGGUCCGGAGGGGUCCUUUCCUCCCCAGGUGGUCCGUCCUUGCCUUUGCAGAGGGCCCGGGAAGGAAGGCGCUGGGCUGGAAAUAGCUGAGGGUGCCGAGCGCCAGGGGCCCCGAGUCGGGGCCGGGAGGGCUGUGUUUGAGUAGGCCGGCGGGUUUGCGUUAAAUCUCAGCUGGGUAUCUUGGGGUGACCCCUUGACUUCUCUGAUUUCCUGUUCCCUCAGCCGCCUAAUGGGGAAUGCAAAGGUGUUUGUCUCAGGAAUCCAGAAAAUUCGAUGCAAGCUGGUGUAACCCACCAAGCAAGGGUGCUGUUUUUUUUUUUUUUUUAAUUUUUAAAAUUUUUGUUUUUGGCUCAAGUGACCAAGAAGUCCAGAGCUGGCCCGGCGUUGGUGCGUUCAGACCAGGGGGCUCUCACGGAAGCUACCAUUUGUCGUGUGCUUUCCUGGAUUGCUCAUUUAUUUACUCCGCACCACACACCCGAGAAGUAAACACCAUUACUGCCUUACAGAUCAAGAAACUGGGUCACACAGGAGACGUGCAGGGCCAGGCUGUGCAGCCAGGGUGCCGCCUGGGGAGUCCAGAUCCCGAGCCGGCGCGCUAACCACUCGGCCUCACUGCCUCCUUGAUGAGCCUCCACCCACCCACCCCCACUGCAGCUUUCUCUUCUGACCUCAAUUUCUUUGUGUACUUUACAGAACUGCACCUGCCCCCAGGCUCGGCACAGCCGCCUUCCCAGGCACGGCCAAGUUCUGUGCUGCCCAGCCGCCCUGCUACCUAGGGUGCAGAGGGCGCCAGCAGGCAACGCUGCCUUGCGGGAACAGUUUGCUCAUGGAUCCAGCAUGGAGCCCAGCGCUCUGUGUUAGUGAUCACAUGCCCUCGGGGUAACGAGGGAGCCCCGGACACGCGGCACUGCCAGCAUUGCCACCAUCGGCCUGGAGCCCCCAGGACGCAUCUCUUUAGGCCCCUAGUCACAGCGCUGGGAGGUGACCACUCGGACUCCCGACUUCCAGGCCACCUUGGGCUUGCCGGUCUCUAGCCGGCUGCAAUGCACUCUGUUCCGCCCCCUUCUCCCUGACGCCCCAGACCUUCCACGGUGGCCUCUGCAGUUCACGGGCCAUUAUCAGUCAGAAGCCCCACGCCUCGCCCUCUUCCCUGGGGUUCCCUUGCUCUCUGGUGCUCACACAAACUGGGCUCCCCCCAGGGCUCUGCUUGGCCAGCUGCCUCCCACAGCUUCUGUACCACGGGGCCUGGAGGUGGCCAAGAGGCACCUUUACUCCUUAUAGCCAUGUGCACACUGGUCUCCCACCCCUGAGAGAGAGAGAGAGAGAGAGAGAGAGAGAGAAUAUCCUAUCCCCUGUUUCACUGUGAUAGCCAGGUCUGGGCCAGGCUGAAGCCAGGAGCCAGGAGCUCUCUCCAGGUCGCCCACGUGGAUAGCAGGUGCUCAAGCACCCGCACCAUCCUCUGUUGCCCUCCUGGGCACGUGAAGCUGGAUGGGACGUGGAACGGCCAGGACUUAAACUGGCACUCCAACACGGGCUGCCAGCGUUGCAAGCUGCAGCUUCAUUGGCUGUGCCCCAAAGCCAGUUCCCAUGUUUUGUUGUGACCCAUAAGCAUACGCCACACUGUCAGUGUCAUGCAUCCAACUCUUGACCUACCUCUUCCUGUUUUUCUGGCUCAUUCUUUUUGGUAUGCAAAUGGUGACAAUCCUUGGACGUUGGAACCUCAGUGUUCCUAUUGGGGGUUCAUGGGCUCUUGUCCCUAAUAUCCUUCCUCCUCUUCCUCCCAAGCUACAGGUCCAUGGUCAGUUAGCACAAUCACCAGCAAGCAGCUGGAUCCAGUCCUGCAGGUUUUCCGUGCCUGUACCAGGCUGAGGAGAACACACAACCAUACUGGGCAGUCCGACUUCACCUCAACCUUGAUCUUCCAGGGGCCUUUUUUCAUUUUGACUUUAAAAAAAAUUUUUUUAAAUUUUUUUGACAGGCAGAGUGGACAGUGAGAGAGAGAGACAGAGAGAAAGGUCUUCCUUUUGCCAUUGGUUCACCCUCCAGUGGCCGCUGCGGCUGGCGUGCUGCGGCCGGCGCACCGCGCCUAUCCGAAGGCAGGAGCCAGGUGCUUCUCCUGGUCUCCCAUGGGGUGCAGGGCCCAAGGACUUGGGCCAUCCUCCACUGCACUCCCGGGCCACAGCAGAGAGCUGGCCUGGAAGAGGGGCAACCGGGACAGAAUCCGGGGCACCGACCAGGACUAGAACCCCGUGUGCCGGCGAGGCAAGGUGGAGGAUUAGCCUAGUGAGCCGCGGCGCCGCCCCCAGGGGCCUUUCAAAGCCCUCUUUGUUGCGGGGUCAUUCAUUCUUCCUUCUCUAGAUAGAACAUGUUUGUUUCCUUUCCUCUGUUCUCUCCUCAAACCCCCACACUCCCUGGUUGCUUACUCUCACUGUUGACUUUGCUGUCCAUUUCACUGAGAUAUUGAGAUACUUAGAAGAGAGCUUGCCCAGUAUCCCCACCCCCAUCUGCUCCCACACCUCCCCCUUCCCUCCUGUUCCCAUAAACGGGCAUUUGUGCUUCCAGUUAAAUUGGAUCCCCUCCCCUUGAGUCUGGUCAAGGACGUUGUGAAGGUCAUUUUAUCUCUUUUCUAUAACCCAAUUCUUUUGCUGUUUUCUGGAUCAUUCCCAGUGGUAUGAAAACAUUAAAAUCUCAUCUUUAUUUGAGAGACAGCGUCAGAGUAAGAUAGAUACACAGAGAGCGUCCCAUCCGCUGGUUCACUCCCUAAAAGCCUACAGUGCUGGGACUGGGCCAAGGCCAAAGUCAGGAGCCUGGAAUGCAAUCCAGGUCUCCCACAUGGGAGGCGGGAACUCAGUUUCCUGAGCCAUCACGGCUGCUUCCUGGUCUUCACUUGUGGGAAGCUGGAAUCAGACGCUGGAGCUGGGGCUUGAGCCCAGGCAUUCUGAUGUGAUGUGUGGGCGUCCUCGCUGCCAGCUAAAUGCCCACUCUCUACGUAUCUUAGCCUAAACUCCCCACAAACAGACUGACCUAGACCCUGCUCCCGGCCAUCUGCUGUUCUUUUAUUCUCCUUUGAUCACAAACAGCCUCUGGCCCCUUCUUCCUGUGGUCUUUUGCCUCCAAUAUGUUUUAUGAAAUUACAAAAACAAACAAACAAACAAACAAACACUGUAACAGAUUUAGCUGGGAAAGGGGGCUAUCUGCAUGAAAAAGAAUGAUGCUUUUACCUAAUGCCACCUGUGCGAAUUAACCUAAAAUGGAUCAGAGACCUAAGUGUCCGACCUAAAACCGUAAGAUUCUUAGAAGGAAGCUUAGGGGUAAGUUUUAUGUCACUGGAUUUGGCAUUGCACUCUUGGGUAAGAUACCAAAGCCACAGGUGACAUAAGGAAAGGCUCUUUCUACCAACAGAGUAAAAACCAAUCCGCGGAAUGGGAGAAAGGACUUGCGGAUCAUAUAUCUGACACGGAAUUAACGUCCAGAAUAUAAAGAAGACUCCAGAAACUCAGCAACAACAGAUAAACUGGACAGCCUGAUUCAAAAUUGGGCAAAGGGCUUCAAUGGUUCUUUUUUUUUGGUUAAAGCUUUAUUUUAUUUAUUUGAAAAGAAGAAUGACAGAAGGAGAGAGAGAGAGAGAGCAGGGAAUGGGGAGAGAGAAACAGAGACAGAAAAAGAGAGAGUUCUUCUAUCCCUUGGCCCACUCCCCAAAUAGCCACAAUGGCCAGGACGGGCCAGGUUGAAACAGGAACCAGGAACUCCAUCUGGUCUCUCAUGUGGAUGGCAGGUCUCCCAUGUGAAGUGAUAUCUCAUUAUAGUCUUUUUGCUUUUAAAGAUUUAUUUAUUUGUUUGAAAGGCAGAGUUAGAGAGAGAGAGAGAGAGAGAGCUUCCAUCUGCUGGUUCACUCCCCAAACGCCUGCAAUGGCCGGAGCUGGGCCGAGCUGGGCCGAGCUGAGCACUUGGGCCAUCUCCCACUGCUUUCCCAGAUGCAUUAUCAGGGAGCUGGAUGGGAAGUGGAGCAGCAGGGACUCGAACCCGCGCCCAUAUGGGAUUCCGGUGCUGCAGGCAGCGGCUUUAUCCGCUACGCCACAGCACGAGCCCCUCAUUAUAGUUUUGAUUUGCAUUUCUCUAAUGAUUAGUGAUGUUGUGUUUCUUUCCAUGUGCUUACUGACCAUUUGUUUAUCUUCUUUGAAGAAAUGUCUAUUUAGGAGACCAAUGUUGUGGUGCAGUGGGUUAAGCCACCGCUCAUGAUGCCUGCAUCCCAUCUCAAACCGCUGGUUCGAGUCCCAGCUACUCUGCUUCAGAUCCAGCUCCCUGCUAAUGGCCUAGGAAAAGCAGCAGAAGAUGGCCCAAGUGUUUGGGCCCCUGGCACCCACAUGGGAGACCUGGCUGAAGCUCUUGGUUCCUGGCUUCAGUUUGGCCCAGUCCUGGGCAGUUGCAGCCAUCUGGGGAGUGAACCAGCAGACGGAAGAUCUCUCUCUCUCUCUCUCUCUCUCUGCCUUUCAAAUAAGUAAGUAAAUAAAUAAAUCUUUUAAAAAACAAUUACCAUAGGAUCCUGCACUUCCGAUGUUGAGAAUACACUCAAAAGACUUGAAAGCAGGAUCUUGAAGAAAUAGUUGUACAUCCAUGAGCUUAUCGCAGCAUCAUUCACAACAGCUGAAAUGUGGGGCAACAGGCGCCCGCCGAGGAAGGGCUGCGGAAGCCACCCGUGGUGUGUCCCUACAGCGGACUGCUGUUCGGCCUCAAAGAGAAGGAAACUCGCAGUCGGCCAGCACGGAUGAACCCUGAGGAGAGUGUGCUACGUGAAGCAGACGCAGAUGCUGUGAGCUCCGUCACACAGACACUCGAGUGGUCAGAUGUAUAGAGACAGGAAAUGAGGUGGCGAUUGACAGGGACUGUGGGUGGGGGAUGGGGAGGUACUGUCUACUGGGUGUGGAGUUUCAUGGAGAUGGAUGAUGCGAUGACCGCAACAUUCGGAAGCACUCAGCAUUGGCGACCUGUUCCCUCCAAAGGGGUUUACGUUGCUCGCACAAUAAAAGAAGAGAGAAAAAGCCACAAGGUUGCAAGUACUUUGCUGUCAAUACCAAUACCAGAACCACUAAGUCCUCCACUUAGUGUCUACCACCAAAAUGCUACUGCACUUGUAGUGUUGUGCGUCUCACUGUGCAUCCUUCUGUCCAUCCACUGACUCAUCUUAUUUUUGUGCAUUUCAAAUUAAACUGCAGAUACCAGUACAUAUCCCUUUAAAUAAUAUGAGCAUUAUUACUUAGGCCAUGAUAUUUCAUUUUUUAAAAAAUUUAUUUAUUUAUUUGAAAGUCAAAAUUACACAGAGAGAGGAGAGGCAGAGAGAGACAGAGGUCUUCAAUCUGCUGGUUCGCUCCUCAAUUGGUUGCAACGGCCGGAGCUGUGUUGAUCCGAAGCCAGAAGCCAGGAGCUUCUUCCAGGUCUCCCACAUGCGUGCAGGGGCCUGAGGACUUGGGCCAUCUCCCACUGCUUUCCCAGGCCCUAGCAGAGAGCUGGAUCUGAAGUGGGGCAGCUGGGACUCCAACCGGCGCCCAUAUGGGAUACCAGCACUACAGGCAGCGGCUUUACCUGCUAUGCCACAGCACCAGCCCCCAUAAUAUUUCUGCAGUUUGUUUUCUUUCAUGGCAAAAUUUGCAUGCAAUGGAAUGUUCACAUUCUAAUAGACACCUUCUUUGUCUUUUAAACCUGGCAACCCAGGCUUUCUCCCUCAGCAUCCUACAAGGAACUUCAUGUGACCAAAUCCAAUGGACAACCCCUUGUCCUUUUAAAAAAUGAUUUAUUGAUUUCAUUGAAAGGCAGAGUGACAAAGAGAGAGGGAGGGAGGGGGAGGAAAGAGAGAGGAAGAGAUCCAUCUUCCAUCUGUUGGUUCACUCUCCCAAAUUCCCACAAUAGUCAGGGUUGGUCCAAGCCGAAGCCAGGAGCCAGGAACUCCACCCAGUUCUCCCACGUGGGUAGCAAGGGCCCAGGCACUUGGGCCAUCUUCUGCUGCUCUCCCAGGGGCAUUAGAGGGAGUCGGGUUGGAAGUGGAGCAGCUGGGACUCGAACCAGCACUCUGAUAUGGGACCCUCACUUCUUGUGUGGCAGCUUAACCUGCUGUGCCACAACACUGGGCCCCAGUCUUUGGUCCCUGAUUUACUUAGUUAACAGAAGCAGCACUUGACCUGCCCGAGGGCUGUCUCCUUUCUUCCGGGGACUUCCAGAACACGUCUUCUCCUCCCCUUUCAGGCACUUCUGCUGAUCUUGCAGCGCCUCGGACCCUGAGGUUGGAGGGCCCAGGACUCAGGACUGGCUCCCUUCACUGUCCAGCUGCACUCCUGCCUUGGGAAUCUCACCUGUCCUGUGGUUCGUGGGUCACCUGCAGGCCAGCAGCUCCCACAUUCACGUCUCUGGUCCUGAUGUGCCCAAGUUUUGUGCUUCCGACUGCCCUCAUCUCAGACUCAGGGUGUCCCCAGCUGAACUCCUCCAAUCUCCAUAAAACCCAGUCUAUUUGUACCCUCUCUUUUGUAAAACAAAAACAAAAACAAAAACCUUAAUUUUUUUAAAUCCAGGCUCAUAGCAACAUGAAGAGGAAGGAACAGACACUUCCCAUCCAGCCGCUGUGCUGCAGACACCCAAGGCUUCCCCCAUCAUGACCAUCCCCCACCAGAGGGGUCCAUUUGUUACUGCAGAUGAACCUAUGCUGAGACUCAUCCGUCUAGCACCCAAGCUCACAGUGGGGUGCACUCCAGGUGCUGUACCACCUUCUUCUUCUUCUUCUUCUUCUUCUUCUUCUUCUUCUUCUUCUUCUUCUUCUUCUUCUUUUUUUUAAAUCCAACCAGAACAUUUUGAGGUUGAUUUUUUUGGAUAUUAUUCAUUUUAAUGAUUUCUUUUCACUUUGUAAUCACAGAAAACAACAUUUUCAAUCUAUUUAAGCAUAGGUAUCAUUACAUUAAAGCUAACUAUACUGCUAAGAAAACCAUGUUGACUUCGUGGAGAUAUAAGCAAGAAAAUUCUAGUUAUCAAGAUAUAAUGAUAUUAGUUAUUAUAGAUUGCCAACUCAUGAACUGCACACACAAUCACUUGACUAGAUUCACAUGAUGUAUUUGAUGCUAAUUCCCAUUAUUGAGUUUACCCAUCCCAUGUACCCAUCACAGGACAUUAUUGAAGUGAGUUAGACCUUUAGAGCUACUAACUAAAAUGGUGGCAAAUCAGGUAUAUCAUUAUGGCAGGAGACUACUUCAGUGGUUUUUUCCCUUCCUCUAACCAGAUAAAAAUGUUGUAUAUUGCCUUAACAGAAAUAAACUUGAAAUAAAAUGCAGCAGUGAAUAAUAAGCAUGUUUCAAAGGUAGUUGCAUUUGCAAAUGAAAGCACAUAUUAAUGUCAAUAAAUUGAUGUAAUAAGAA
This is a non-coding RNA of Oryctolagus cuniculus (rabbit), 8335 nucleotides long. Lineage: Eukaryota; Metazoa; Chordata; Mammalia; Lagomorpha; Leporidae. The record is from RefSeq and is a predicted model, not a curated record.